RNAcentral lists this long non-coding RNA (295 nucleotides) under Elaeis guineensis (African oil palm). RNAcentral describes it as "long non-coding RNA (EGUI_LNC053366)". Lineage: Eukaryota; Viridiplantae; Streptophyta; Magnoliopsida; Arecales; Arecaceae. The record is from RNAcentral.
CCCGAGGUACUAGCUUUCUUGUAGAGAUCUGCUCUUGAUGGUUAAUUGAAGACCUUCUUCAAAUCUCUCAAACCCUCUUAGAGAAGAAGAAGAUCUUGGAGGAAGAAGAGGUGGAGGAAGAAGAAGAGAAUUCUUCCCUUUUCUCUCACAAAACCCAUGCCAAAGAAGAAAAAGGGGACACCCCAAGAGACCUCAUGCCCAAGACCUUUUUUUCUUCUCUUCUCAUGAUAAAAUCAGAUCACAUCUAAUUUCAUAUGCCAAAAACAAAACCCUUUUAUAGAUGGCAUCCAAGGAU